CUCAAGUGAUCCACCCACCUUGGCCUCCAAAAGCGCUGGGAUUAUAGGUGUGAGCCACCGCAUCCAGCCAUACUCAUGGUUUUUUUUUUUUUUAAUUCAUUGAGUUAUCCUUAGACUUUGUCUCAGUUUUGACUAGGCAAGCCAUCUUCUUUGUCCUUUUGACAAGUGCUCAUUACUUUUUGAGUUCUCUUAUUUUCUAGUGUUAUAAAAUACUCCCACCCCAGCCCAGGAAUCAGCCAUUUUUCCAGUUUCUUUUUGUGUGUGU
This is a long non-coding RNA of Sapajus apella (tufted capuchin), 265 nucleotides long. RefSeq lists it as uncharacterized. The record is from RefSeq and is a predicted model, not a curated record. Lineage: Eukaryota; Metazoa; Chordata; Mammalia; Primates; Cebidae. The transcript is spliced from 3 exons.